RNAcentral lists this ribosomal RNA (268 nucleotides) under uncultured prokaryote. RNAcentral describes it as "partial 16S ribosomal RNA". It matches the Rfam family "Bacterial small subunit ribosomal RNA", at positions 509 to 776 of the family's 1533-position model. The record is from RNAcentral.
CAGCCGCCGCGGUAAUACGUAGGGUGCGAGCGUUGUCCGGAAUUAUUGGGCGUAAAGGGCUCGUAGGCGGUUUGUCGCGUCGGGAGUGAAAACUCAGGGCUUAACCCUGAGCCUGCUUCCGAUACGGGCAGACUAGAGGUAUGCAGGGGAGAACGGAAUUCCUGGUGUAGCGGUGAAAUGCGCAGAUAUCAGGAGGAACACCGGUGGCGAAGGCGGUUCUCUGGGCAUGUCCUGACGCUGAGGAGCGAAAGUGUGGGGAGCGAACAGG